UUGAAGUCCGGCACACGAAUCCACUUAAAGAUCUCAACUUUUCUUGACUUCUGACUAUAGAAUUUGCACAAUGAGGCAAAGAGAACUCAAUUGAACAAUAAUUACUAGGACUUUAAUUCAAAUCCAAAGAGACAUGCUUCAAAUUGGUGACUACGGAACUGAGUUCGAACACUAAAAAAGACACAACUUUUCAAGUGAUCACUACUCUUAUAAGUCAAGUUCCCAUUACACAUAAUCUAAAAGCUAAUAAAGAUAACCAGGAAUCUUAAUACGGAUAAAGAGCAUACUCAUGACAUAAGCGAUCACAAUGGAGGAGACACCAGCAACAGCAUAAGAAGCUUUAACACUCUUGGCUUUGUUCUUAUCAAGCGCUAAAUCAAGCAUAACAAUCCCAAUUCCACCGAGAACGAACAUGAAUCCAGAAGAGAGACCUUCAAUGAUAUAUUGCCCGUUAACCCGACCCGACAUAAACACAACGGGUCGAAUAGUUCCAGUAGUCGGAUCCUGAGUUGAUCCGAUACCCGGAGGCUCGACAAUUACGUCGUAGACGAAACCGGAGACUACUAAAAAGUAGGUAAGGAGAAUUAGAGCGUAUACAGUCAUCGGAGAAGGAAGCGUGAACGAUGGAAUCUUCAGACGGAGGCGCGGUGGUCGGAGAAAUGAGAAUGGGACGAUUCGGAGAAGGUGGAAUAUUGGAUCCAUUGAGGAUUGAUCUGAACCGUCUGAUACACUGGAGCCGGUUUGCGAAUCGGAUCUUGGAGCCAUUUUAUCGAAUCCUCCUUGGAUCUCUUCCUCUCUCACCCUAUCGACGGAAUCAGGAAGAGUUUCAGAAUUGGCUUUGUUUGGAAACUAGGAUAAAG
Molecule: long non-coding RNA, 860 nt
Organism: Arabidopsis thaliana (thale cress)
Lineage: Eukaryota; Viridiplantae; Streptophyta; Magnoliopsida; Brassicales; Brassicaceae
Product: other RNA
Exons: 1
Source: RefSeq